GAUGAACGCUGGCGGCGUGCUUAACACAUGCAAGUCGAACGGUGAAGCCAAGCUUGCUUGGUGGAUCAGUGGCGAACGGGUGAGUAACACGUGAGCAACCUGCCCUGGACUCUGGGAUAAGCGCUGGAAACGGUGUCUAAUACUGGAUAUGAGAUGUGAUCGCAUGGUCAUGUUUGGAAAGAUUUUUCGGUCUGGGAUGGGCUCGCGGCCUAUCAGCUUGUUGGUGAGGUAAUGGCUCACCAAGGCGUCGACGGGUAGCCGGCCUGAGAGGGUGACCGGCCACACUGGGACUGAGACACGGCCCAGACUCCUACGGGAGGCAGCAGUGGGGAAUAUUGCACAAUGGGCGGAAGCCUGAUGCAGCAACGCCGCGUGAGGGAUGACGGCCUUCGGGUUGUAAACCUCUUUUAGCAGGGAAGAAGCGAAAGUGACGGUACCUGCAGAAAAAGCGCCGGCUAACUACGUGCCAGCAGCCGCGGUAAUACGUAGGGCGCAAGCGUUAUCCGGAAUUAUUGGGCGUAAAGAGCUCGUAGGCGGUUUGUCGCGUCUGCUGUGAAAUCCCGAGGCUCAACCUCGGGUCUGCAGUGGGUACGGGCAGACUAGAGUGCGGUAGGGGAGAUUGGAAUUCCUGGUGUAGCGGUGGAAUGCGCAGAUAUCAGGAGGAACACCGAUGGCGAAGGCAGAUCUCUGGGCCGUAACUGACGCUGAGGAGCGAAAGGGUGGGGAGCAAACAGGCUUAGAUACCCUGGUAGUCCACCCCGUAAACGUUGGGAACUAGUUGUGGGGACCAUUCCACGGUUUCCGUGACGCAGCUAACGCAUUAAGUUCCCCGCCUGGGGAGUACGGCCGCAAGGCUAAAACUCAAAGGAAUUGACGGGGACCCGCACAAGCGGCGGAGCAUGCGGAUUAAUUCGAUGCAACGCGAAGAACCUUACCAAGGCUUGACAUACACCAGAACACCGUAGAAAUAUGGGACUCUUUGGACACUGGUGAACAGGUGGUGCAUGGUUGUCGUCAGCUCGUGUCGUGAGAUGUUGGGUUAAGUCCCGCAACGAGCGCAACCCUCGUUCUAUGUUGCCAGCACGUAAUGGUGGGAACUC
Molecule: ribosomal RNA, 1100 nt
Filed under: Microbacterium sp. M311
Lineage: Bacteria; Bacillati; Actinomycetota; Actinomycetes; Micrococcales; Microbacteriaceae
Description: bacterial SSU rRNA
Rfam family: Bacterial small subunit ribosomal RNA
Source: RNAcentral